AGCGAACGCUGGCGGCAGGCCUAACACAUGCAAGUCGAACGAACCUUUCGGGGUUAGUGGCGGACGGGUGAGUAACACGUGGGAACGUGCCUUUAGGUUCGGAAUAACUCAGGGAAACUUGUGCUAAUACCGAAUGUGCCCUUCGGGGGAAAGAUUUAUCGCCUUUAGUGCGGCCCGCGUCUGAUUAGCUAGUUGGUUGAGGUAAUGGCUCACCAAGGCGACGAUCAGUAGCUGGUCUGAGAGGAAGAUCAGCCACAUUGGGACUGAGACACGGCCCAAAAUCCUACGGGAGGGAGCAGUGGGGAAUCUUGCGAAAUGGGCGAAAGCAUGACGCAGCCAUGACGCGUGAAUGAUGAAGGUAUUAGGAUUGUAAAAUUCUUUCAACGGGGACGAUAAUGACGGUACCCGGAGAAGAAGCCCCGGCUAACUUCGUG
This 434-nucleotide ribosomal RNA is filed under the name uncultured bacterium. Its description in RNAcentral is "partial 16S ribosomal RNA". It matches the Rfam family "Bacterial small subunit ribosomal RNA", at positions 29 to 507 of the family's 1533-position model. The record is from RNAcentral.